This 22859-nucleotide long non-coding RNA is filed under the name Triticum aestivum (bread wheat). RNAcentral describes it as "long non-coding RNA (TAES_LNC013807)". The record is from RNAcentral. Lineage: Eukaryota; Viridiplantae; Streptophyta; Magnoliopsida; Poales; Poaceae.
GAGCAACUCUCUCUUCUCUGACCAAAUGAAAGACAUCUCAAAUAGAUCCAUUCUAAAAAGAACAUCGCAAAUACUCGACAAAUUCUUUAACACUGCCUCCACCCAGUUAUUAUUAUUAGUAUCACCAUCCAUAUCAUUUGUAUUCCAAAUGAAUGAUUAACUGUAUGUAGACUCAUUCCGGCAAAAUUUUGUAUGUAAAUACAUAACAGAGCCUACGAUGCGACCCAAAACUAUAUACGGGACAGGUCGCAUGUUCAUUAUUCCUUCCAUUCCAUGUAUCUAUAAUAUUAUCUCAGACAACCAUAACGCCUUUUUCUUUUCUCUCCUCCUGUCAGAGUGAGCGCACGCCGCGACGACCCCUCCCGGGACCAGGAGUGCGUUGCCCCGGGGCCAUCCAUCUCGGUGGAGAAACAAGAGUGCUUUGCACGCCGAAACGCCGUCAGAGUGCACGCGCCGAGGCCGGGGAAGAGAGCCUCAUCAAUGGUGGUGCUGCGAGAACGGCCACCAUCUCCUCUUCUUCGCCGUGUGAUGCAACCUCGGAGCAUCUGUUGGCAAAACCAUAGGACAGAGAGGGUUUCAGCGAUUACUGUUACCAGGCAGAGAUCGCGGUGUCGGUGUGGAAUGUUGGUUGCAUACGUUUGCGACGGGGACUGGACACGCAUUGCAUGUAUGCCAAUGGCAGGCAGGCAAGCAGGCCUGCAUAAUUUUCUCGAAGUGGCUGAGGCAAACAAGCAGAAUGGUUUAAUGUGUUGUCCAUGCCCUAUAUGUGGGAAUACGAAGUCUUACUCUGACCGGAAAAUUCUUCACACCCACCUGCUUUAGAAGGGUUUCAUGCCACACUAUAAUAUUUGGACCAGGCACGGAGAAAUAGGGGUUAUGAUGGAAGACAGCGAAGAAGAAGAGGACGAUGACAACUAUGUGCCCCCUGAAUACGGUGAUGCUGCAACGGGGGAAGCUGCUGAAGAUCAAGAGGAACCAGACGAUGUGCCCGAUGAUGAUGAUCUCCGCCGGGUCAUUGUCGAUGCAAGGACACAAUGCGAAAGUCAAAAGGAGAAGCUGAAGUUUGAUCGCAUGUUAGAGGAUCACAAAAAAGGGUUGUACCUCAAUUGCGAAGAUGGCAACACAAAGCUCGGUACCGUACUGGAAUUGCUGCAGUGGAAGGCAGAGAAUGCUGUGCCUGACAAAGGAUUUGAGAAGCUACUGAAAAUAUUGAAGAAGAAGCUUCCAAAGGAUAACGAGUUGCCCGAUAGUACGUACGCAGCAAAGAAGGUCGUAUGCCCUCUAGGAUUGGAGGUGCAGAAGAUACAUGCAUGCCCUAAUGACUGCAUCCUCUACCGCGGUGCGUACGAGGAUUUGAACGCAUGCCCGGUAUGCGGUGCAUUGCGGUAUAAGAUUAGACGAGAUGACCCUAGUGAUGUUGAUGGCGAGCCCCCCAGGAAGAGGGUUCCUGCGAAGGUGAUGUGGUAUGCUCCUAUAAUACCACGUUUGAAACGUCUGUUCAGAAACGAAGAGCAUGCCAAGUUGAUGCGAUGACAUAGAGAGGACCGUAAGAAAGACGGGAAGUUGAGAGCACCCGCUGACGGGUCGCAGUGGAGAAAAAUCGAGAGAAAGUACUGGGCUGGGUUUGCAGGUGACCCAAGGAACGUAUGGUUUGGUUUAAGCGCGGAUGGCAUUAAUCCUUUCGGGGAGCAGAGCAGCAAUCACAUCACCUGGCCGUGACUCUAUGUAUGUAUAACCUUCCUCCUUGGAUGUGCAUGAAGCGAAAGUUCAUUAUGACUACGCCUUGUUUGAAUGCAUCCAUCUCUUUCCCGUCCGACUCACUGCAAAAAUCAGUAGCAAGUCAACCUCUUUUUCUUCUUCUCUUUAUCCUAAAUAAUGAUGUUUUGUACUCUCUUCGUCUCAAAAUAAGUGUUGAGUCACUUAUUUUAGGAAGGAGGGAGUAUUUCCCAAAAAUAUGAUGUUUUGUUUUCAUUUGUUCUGACAUUGAAUCUGUGUCGGAGACUAUGCUUUAUUGACGUACAUGGAUUUUAUUUUAUUCUGAGACAAAAGUACAUGUGUUGUAUUUUAUUUUAUUCAUUGAGGGAAAUUUACAUAUGUUUUUCAAUGGAAGGAAAAUUUACAUUCUUUGAUUUAUUUUAUUUUAUUGAGGAAAAUUCACAUGCUGCUUUUAGCGAAAGGAAAAUUGACAUGCUUGGAUGGCCAAAUGCAGCCGAGACCCGCACCGUUUAACUAGCCCUAACCUCUUGAGAAUGUUGCAGUAAAAAAAAAACCUCUUGAGAAUGUUUCAUGGGCCUCCACUGAUGCAAAAUGAUCUUUUUUUUUUUGCGAAAGGACGCAAAAUGAUCAAUGGGCUCUCUCUGGUCUCCGUGGUUACUUCGUGCCACUCGGGUUAGUACUUCGGCCUCCACAACAUCGCUUCACAACCUCCAAAAAAAUGUUUUAACCAAGCAACUCUCUCUUCUCGAACCAAAUCAAAGACAUCUCAAAUAGACCCAUUCUAAAAAGAACAUGACAAAUACUCAACAGAUUCUUUAACACUGCAUUCACCCAGUUAUUAUUAUUAGUAUCACCAUCCAUAUCAUUUGUAUUCCAAAUGAAUGAUUAACUGUAUGUAGCCUCAUUCCGGCAAAAUUUUGUAUGUAAAUACAUAAACAGAGCCUGCAAUGCGACCCAAAACUAUAUACGGGACAGGUCGCAUGUUCAUUAUUCCUUCCAUUCCAUGUAUCUAUAAUAUUAUCUCAGACAACCAUAACGCCUUUUUCCUUUUCUCUCCUCCUCCUGUCAGAGCGAGCGCACGCCGCGACGACCCCUCCCGGGACCAGGAGUGCGUUGCCCCGGGGCCAUCCAUCUCGGUGGAGAAACAAGAGUGCUUUGCACGCCGGAACGCCGUCAGAGUACACGCGCCGAGGCGGGGGAAGAGAGCCUCAUCAAUGGUGGUGCUGCGAGAACGGCCACCAUCUCCUCUUCUUCGCCGUGUGCUGCAACCUCGGAGCGUCUGUUGGCAAAACCAUAUAUAGGAAAGAGAGGGUUUCAGCGAUUACUAUUAUCAGGCAGAGAUCGCGGUGUCAGUGUGGAAUGUUGGUUGCAUACGUUUGCGAUGGGGACUGGACACGCAUUGCAUGUAUCUCAAUGGCAGGCAGGCAUGCUACUCACCGUUCUGUGGAAAUAUCGAGUUGUAGUGAACCUCUGCCCAAAAGCUCAACAGCACCACUGAGAUCAAUCGGAAGAAAAACAGUCAAGUGAAUAGUUAAGUAUCAAGACCAUCCACUUGGAACUGUAAAGAAAAUUAAUCAUCUGCAUACCUUUGUUGGACUUCUGAACCUUGGGUUGGAUCUCGAUGUAGCACGUAUCCUUGAACGAGGUCAUGACGAAAAUCUUCACUCCGUACUGCAACAGAUUGUCGAAUUGUGUUAGAAUGGGCAUUAGUAAAGUACAACCCCUGCCAGCUGUGAUAUAUGCUAUGCCCAUGAGUAAGACAAAUAUAAGCACCUUGUCAGCAGCAGCCUGUAAAGUCACAUGGUCACCCCAUUCACCAUUUCUGUCAGUUUAUGCACAAAGAUAUUAGUUGGGGAAGCAUUCACAUGUGACUAAUUUGUACUACUAGUCAUGAACAGUUUUUGAACUGUUAAGCUUACCGUGAUACUUUCUCCAGAUACUCAUCAUAUGCCAUGGGGACGUAUCCAUCAUAGGCUUCCCGGUUACUCUUAAGCUGGAAACGAUUAUUUAUCAGACGAAAGAUGAAAGUGUGAAAACAAAGAAUGAAGCUAAGGAUCACGAAAGAAAGAUUACUACUGUUGAUUACCUGGCUAAUUAUCUGCUCCCUCACAAACUCAUGGUGGUCCGGAGUUUGGUACAGCUGAUCUGAUAGUGCACGGAACUGUGGAAUUGAGAAGGUUAGAUUAGCAUCAAUUGGUUGUGGCUUAUGUACUACAUCAUGGUCUAACAGUAAGUCAUGAAUGAUGGAAUAACUCAGAGAACUGACCCAACUGCUGCUGCUACUAUGCUUAUUUCAGCAAAAUAAAACUAAGUAUUCAGGUGAGGAUGGCACUAAGUACAAACCUGACAAUUGCCAUCACCUUUCACCUUGUUCUCAGUUAGUUCAUACAACCUCAACCUACAACAAUAUACAUGUAAAAAUUACUGAACUACACGUGGACACUCUAUUUAGAAAGCUAAGAAGAAACAUUAUCAGACUUAUUCUAGUACAUCCGAUCCCUCAUAAAUUCAAUGUUUCAAAAGGAACCCGUGAGAAGUGAGAUUUAAGACAGACCUGUCUGACAGCCUUUCAUGGUCCAUGCUGGCUUCGUCAAGUGAUGGAAUUUCACCAUUAAUUUUAGGGACAUGCUGGAGAAGGCAAAAUAAAUUGUUUAAUCAUAGUUGUAAGUGUAAUGGAACCAAAGCUAAUAACAAAUGCAUAAACAUGUCGGAAAAGAAAAGAAUGCUGAUUAAUUGUGCAAACAGCAGUUUUAAUGCAGCCUUUUUCCCAUACUGAAGGUGCAAGUAAUAAUUUAUUCCCAUGAAACUAUAAGGAAGGCAGUAAUCACACUUUGUAUGCAAAACUCUAUAAACUGAACCCGGUAGCCAAGUCACAGUUUUCAUCUGGACGUUGCUAAAGUUUAACAUGGCAUGGCUCAACAUGGAGUUAAGAAUAUCUGAAUUUAAUUCACCUUACAAUGUAUUUACAGACUUUUGGAAGAAUUUCUUAUCACGCUGUCCAUUAAAGCAAGUAGUAUUCACAAUCAAUUAUCCAACUGAUAUACAUAUUGGUGUAAUUGUCCAUUUGAGAUUUUAGCUACAUGUGCACAGGUAUUCUGUCAAUUAUCGUACCUACUUUGGCCAUUGCUUAGUAGCUACUUUAGUCAGUGAGCAAACAUGGGACUUAUCAAGCUUCCUUGGAAGCAAAGCUUCAUUUAUUCUGGAUACUAAGGAGGGACAUCAAUCUUAACGAAACAACACUGUUACCAAGGAUCAAUAGACUCACGGGAACUGGGACCAUGGGGUAAAAUCUCUUCCCUACUUCUUCCUCCAUUUCAAAACAAUCGUCACUGCCAGGGUAUGAAGAGGAACUAGACGGAUCUACAUAGACUGCGUCAUGCUCCUGCCCGCCAACAUUUCCUGGAACACACAAAAAACAUUAGGAGGGAUAGCAAAAAUGCGAAAGGUAAAGGCUGAAUCAGACUAUGGAUAUUUUCACUACCAGGAUGGUACAUGCCUACUUGUGGGUUGUACAUAUCGCACGUAAGUGCAGAAGAAUGCAAAUAUGUCUCAUCGGGAUGUGAUGCAUCUGCAUAACAAAAAAACAUACACAUGAGGAAUACUGCCUUCUUUUUUUCAUGAGUUUUGCACAAAAGAAUCGCACGACGUUCCACAAAACUACCUCUAGCAUAAUUGUAGUCACAAUAGCUGUUGUCACUGUAACCAUUAGGAUGUCCAUAGUAGCUGUUGGGAGCGGCAAAAGGGUCAUGGAAAAGGUCGUACGCCCAGUGGAAAUUUUGAUCUUUCUCACACAUGUUCAUCCGCUGGGCUCAAAUUCUCUGUCAAAAGCACUGCCCCUACCAAGUAGAUUCAGUGAUUUUAGCAUAAGGGAAUGAACACCAAAAGAAGAACAGAAAAUGCGUGAUAUACGGCUAAUUUUGCGCGGUUGCAACAAAGUCAAGGACCGGUGACAGACUUGACAUAAAUGAAUGAUCUGAGUCAUCACGUUAGGAGCACUCUCACUAAAUGUGUUUGAUACACUAGUCACGAUUACGACAGAUCGGAGAAAACUAACAGAUUAGUACGCAAUCCUCCUCCCGGGACCACUACCACAUUAUAAGAUAUUAUUAGGAGAACUUCUUAUCAGUCUAAGCAACCAAAUCAACAACCUAAUAACAUACAUGCAAGAUCAAAGGCCCUUUUGAUUUGUCGCACACUGAUUGAGCAACCCAAUAUGAUUACUCCCAUCACACGUUAGCAAAACAAAAAAGUUGCGACAGUCUCAUAAUCCAAUCAAACGCUUUCUAUAGCAGCCUUAAAAUAGUGGAUUGCGCCAUAACUGCCGAUUAUGCCCGAGAGGCCGUUCAGAGAGCGAACUAACUGCAGGCGAUAUCCACCUUAAUUUCUUUGAUACGAACGGCUGACGUGCUCAGUGUGGAUUGCUAAAUGAGGGCCUCACCUACUGUUGUCCGCUCAAAAUAUGAUAUAUCUAAACUGGUAAUAACAAAUACUACUAGAGUAGUAUGGAUUAACAAGAGAUAUCGAUAACUGUUUCUGGCUACCCUGUUUUCCUGCAGGGUUAGCGGCUGCGUCAACAGGAGGAAAAAUGGUGGAAAAGUUGCAAGGUUAUUAUUAUUCCUGCAGAGUUAGUGGCCGCCGCACGAGGAGGAAAAAUGGUGGAAAAGUUGCAAGACUAUAAUAAUACUAAUAAUCGAGUCAGAAAACGAGGGAACGAACGGGCGGUGUUGUCCUGAAAAGCGGCAUCAGCGAUCAUGGAACCGGGAUUGAAGCAACCUUAGCAGGCACGGCUGCGGCUUUGCUCCUUUAUGUUCAUGGGGCAAAUCAUUUCUACAGAGNNNNNNNNNNNNNNNNNNNNNNNNNNNNNNNNNNNNNNNNNNNNNNNNNNNNNNNNNNNNNNNNNNNNNNNNNNNNNNNNNNNNNNNNNNNNNNNNNNNNNNNNNNNNNNNNNNNNNNNNNNNNNNNNNNNNNNNNNNNNNNNNNNNNNNNNNNNNNNNNNNNNNNNNNNNNNNNNNNNNNNNNNNNNNNNNNNNNNNNNNNNNNNNNNNNNNNNNNNNNNNNNNNNNNNNNNNNNNNNNNNNNNNNNNNNNNNNNNNNNNNNNNNNNNNNNNNNNNNNNNNNNNNNNNNNNNNNNNNNNNNNNNNNNNNNNNNNNNNNNNNNNNNNNNNNNNNNNNNNNNNNNNNNNNNNNNNNNNNNNNNNNNNNNNNNNNNNNNNNNNNNNNNNNNNNNNNNNNNNNNNNNNNNNNNNNNNNNNNNNNNNNNNNNNNNNNNNNNNNNNNNNNNNNNNNNNNNNNNNNNNNNNNNNNNNNNNNNNNNNNNNNNNNNNNNNNNNNNNNNNNNNNNNNNNNNNNNNNNNNNNNNNNNNNNNNNNNNNNNNNNNNNNNNNNNNNNNNNNNNNNNNNNNNNNNNNNNNCAUACAACCAAUUUUUUCAGUUUUGGAGCCUCGCAGACGGACAAAAUAGAGCGUCGUCACCGGCUCAUAGAUCGCAACAAGAUCAACGCGGCUUCGACAAUAAUCCAACAGAAAGAGAUAAUAAUCCAACAGAAAGAUAAUGAUAAAAAUCGGCACAGGAGAUAAGGUCGGGAUCGCGGCCCAAUUUCAUUUCCCAGCCGCCCGCAUCGACGAACAAGAAAGGGAGGAACCCACCACAAAUCAGAGAAGGCGAGGCGCGCUAACCUCGAGCUCGGCACGCUCUCCACCCCACGAUCAGCCCUUGGCGACGGAGGCGGCCAAGACCGGAUCUUCUGCUCCCCCGGGCGAGGACUAGCGGGCGGCGGCGGCGACGGCGGCUCCGGGGGGAUUGAGCGAGCAGGCGAAGCAGCAGCAGAAGGAGCGGCGGGUCGGGGCGGGGGUCAUCCGGGAGGCCGGGAGCAUGGGGAAAUUGCUCGGCCGGCGGAUUGUGGGAUUGAGGGGGAAGCAGCCAGGAGGAGGAGGAGGAGGAACCGCUGUGAGGUGUGGUGUGAAUCGAGCGCGAGGGAGGAAGAGAGAGAGGCGGAGCUUAUUUUUAUUUUUUAAUAUUUUCUUCACUCGCUCUCUUUCGGCUGGCACGCGGCCUCUGCUGUUUAUAGUACUCGCUGCACUGUAGAGGGGGUGGGGCUGGCCUCUUUGCAGAAACGACCUCGAGUUUGCUUCUUAUUGCGGUGAGAGGCCCUCGGAGUGAGCAGCACGAUCUUCCUUCUCUCCGGCCGGUCCGGCCGCCUCAUGGAACCAACAUUUGUUAAUGACCGGCUCCUUGUCGCAAGGGAGAAGAACACAUUGUAUGGUGGUGGCUUUUUUAAAACUUAAAAAACCCGCCAGAUAUGACCGUGUUUGGAAUAGAUUGCUGAGGGGAGGGUACCUACAAGGAUGGUGUAGCUUUCUCUCUUGAGAGACGGCUUGUGCACGAUCGAUGGUGACGCGGCGGCCCUUUCGGUUUGUUGCUACCCGUUGUGUUUGUGUCCUCCUGGUGGAGACGUAGAAUAAGGACGCGCGAUGUUGACGGUGACGUGGUUGAUAUGGCUCAAAUGCCUGGUUUGUGUUUACUCGUUGAGCGCAAGGAAGAAGGAUUGGCGCCGCGAUGACAUAAUUGAUUGUUGAUCAUGCUUUUUAUUCAUUUAUUUGUUGCGGGGAAAUGAGAUUUGGUGUCAGCGGAUCGGUCCUUAGUAAAAAGCACACACCGGCUCUGAGCCGGAGCUGGUUAUAACAAGGUACCGAUAAGGCGAUAACUUAGAAAAGCCGAAUGGAUCCAUGGUUAGCACGCUGGUAUUAGUUGGCCAAGUGUUGUCAAGAAGUAUGUAUGCUUUCGAUUCUUCGAUUCGUCUGGUCGGUUUUCAUCGUAGGGACAACAGAUUGCUUCAAGGGUACGGGUGUAUUUAUGACAACAUUAAUGAUUGUACUAGUAUUGCUUAUACAUGGAUGAUACAAAUACUCGUACGCCACUGCCUUUAUCAAAAGAACGGUUUUGGAUAUUCUUUUAACAAUGAAGCAUUUGAAAGAGUUCAAGAAAGUGUGUGGCAAAAAAGAUGAUUGAAUGCUAAAAAUAAAUCGGCCCCUCCAAUCUAAGGUAUGUGCCGCACUCCCGGAAAGACGAUAACGCCACACAUCUAGGCUAGCACCCGACCGAAAGUGUCCAGAUUGUUAAAUUUUGUAGGCGGUCGAUUUGCGCCUAGGCCUUGUAAGAAGCGAUCAGAAUCGUCGACCAUCUAUGCAUGGGUUGUAUCUCAUCCAUUCUUGUCACAAGCGAGAGAGUCUCUUGAUUGGUAUCAAGAGAAUGAAAAAAAAAGCGCCAACAUGGCAACUUUUGCACAAUUUCUUUUUGUUUUACAUGAGCUUCGGCACAUCACAUUGCUCGUCAAAGGAAAGCCUAUGUACCAACAGGAUACAAUAAUGCUUGCCAUCGACCAAGUUUAACACGUGUACGCAUUAGGCUCUACUAGCGGUGGUACCAAACAACGUUCGAAUUGAAGCGCACCUAUCGGUCGUACACACACAGGACCGAAGACAGAUUCCAGGGAAGCACAGGGUGGGAAUCGCAGAGGAGGACGUCCCAUCGAGGCGUCGACCAGUGGAAUCGCGUCAGCGGGCCGGGGCCCGCCCGGGGGCAUGGGGAGCCAGCGGGCGUUGACGUCACAGGCCCAUCUGAGCAGCGCGCGGAUUCCGAGGGGAAUCUAUCCCGGCGCUCUGCGCGGCAUCUGACGGCCGUCAGCCAGCCCGCGGGCGGGCGGGCCCCGCGGAUCGUACCCGCGCCCUGGAUGCGGCCAGGCCCGGGCCUGCCAUCGGGAAUGGCAUCUUUUCUCCCGACCCGUACGUACGCCGCUGGCCGCAGCCGGUGGCUAAAAGCCAAGCGGCCCCGCCCCCCGGAAUUUCUCCUGUUUAUUAUUUUUAUUAUUUACUUAGACCAGACGAGAAAACUUAGGUUGAUGUGGAAUUUAACCUUUAGGGUGAAAAGAUGAUAAUCUUUUUAAGGAGGUCGAGAGUGACCGGCACCAUAUAAUAAACUCAUAAAACAACGGGUUAUUCCUUGGUAUUUCACUUUCCUGGCUUUCCGCACUUGGAAAGUAAUUUGAUACUGGGGGAUAAGGGGUCGCGGUUUUAUGGCCUUUGGCGCGUGUCAUCGCGUCCAGGAGCAUCCGCAUCUCAGGGCGCUAAACUAAAGACAAAGCGGUACAAAAAGGUUAGCCACAAGGGAAUACUUGGAGAUGCUAUGGUAAUAUAGGUGAUAAGUGCCGAAGUAGGGCUUAGAGCAUCUAUAACACGUGUGGUUAAAAACAUAUGGUAAACAAACACCCACGGACGAAGCGGGAACAUCUGUUUUCCCUCUUUCCCUCCUAUGUUACCUAUAUUCUAUCUUUGGAAGGGCAUAAAAAGUUGGGACAUAAGACAUUGUUAGGUACUUCUAUCUAAAAAUAAAAAUGUACGUGUUAGGAUGACGUGGUAAUAGUAACACAUAAGCUUCUUUCCUCUUUUCUAUACCUCACACGCCUUUCGGCUUCGGCUCAGGAUCGGAUAGACCCAUUCACCUUUAGCUUACGCCUAACGCCUAGUAAUGAAGAUGCUCUUAUCCUGCUUGAGUAUGUAAGAUAGCUUCUCGAAAGCAGGAAGUUUUUCUCCUCCACAAAUACCUAGCUUCUGGCGCACAUCCGUCUUCCUUACUUUUAUGUAUUAUAUUUCCUUUUCCAUUCAUCAUUUAGGCAUUCCUUUCCAUCGUUCGUCACCCGUCAUUGGAAACCGAAGCAACACUCAAUGUCCACAAUAGCCAAACGACCAUGAAUUUCUCUUGUUUAUUGUUUUUACCUAGACUAGAGGUCGAUGAUGUCGGAUUCUAAACUUUAGGGUGAAAAGAUGAUAAUCUUUAUAAGGAGCCAGAGAGUGACCGACACCGUAAUAAACUCACAAAAACAAUGGGUUUGCUCAUCAAUAUUCUACUUUAUUGGCUUUUCAUGCUUUGAAAAAUCCAAUUAUGGGCGGACAAGGGGUCGCGAUUUUAUGGUCUUUGACGUGUGUCUUCACAUCUAGGAGCGCCUGCAUCUCAGUGUGCUAAACAAAAGAUGAAGUGGUAGAAAAAAAGGUUAGUGGCAAAUGCUACGAGAUGCGAUGGUAAGAAAAAAUAACGGUGAUAAUCUUAGUGAUGAAGUAGAGCUUAGAGCAUCUAUAACCCAUAUGGUCAGAAACAAACAGCAAACAAACACCACACGGAGGAAGUGGGAUCAAUUUGCCCUCGUCCCCUCUUAUGUUGCUUCUAUUCCAUCUUUGGAAGCACAUGAAAGUUGAGACGUAAGGCACUAUUAGGUACUUCUAUCGAUGAUGUGAGAAUAAUAACAUAUACGCUUCUUUCCUCUUUCAUAUACCCAACGCACCUUUCGGCUUCGGCUCCGGACCGGAUAGGCCCUCUCCCUUUAGCUUCCGCUUAACACUUAGUGAUGCAGAUACUCUUAUCACCCAUGUUAGAUGGCUUCUCGGAGGCAGGAAGUUUUACUCUUCCAUGAAUACUUGCUUGUGGCGCACUGCCGUCUCCUUUAGUUAUGUAUUAUACUUCCUUUUUUGUUCAUCAUUUAGGCAUCCCUUUCCAUGGUUCGUCAUAUGUCAUGAGAGACGGAUAUCGAAGCAACAUUCAAUGAUUUUUUAGCAGGCCACUCUAAGGUUGUACAUCCGAAAGUAAAACCUCAAUGGCCGGUUUAUAUGUGGCACAAGAUAGGCGUGGUUUUUAUUUCUUAUUGCCGACUACAUAUAUAUGUACAAACAACCUUGAAUUUAUCCUUUUUUUUACCUAGACUGAAGGUUGAUGUCAAAUUUUAAGCUUCAGGAUGAAAAUAUGAUAAUCUUUUUAAGGGCGUUGAGAGUGAUGACACCAUGAACUUGUAAAACAAUAGAUUACUGGUUGAAUUAUUUUACUUUCUUGGCUUUUCGCUCUCAUUUCAAAAUGAUAACAAUGAACUUGAUUAUGGGUGGGCAGAGGGGCCGCGGCUGGUAAGGGUUGUCGAAUCUGUGAUCAUCUAUGUCUUGACACUAAACAGAGGAUAAAUCGAUAAGGAAAAAAGGCAGCGACAGCGAUAUGGUGCAAAGAACCAGUGGCAGAAAAUCUUGGACCCAAAGUUGAGCAUAGAGCAUCUAUAACCCGCACCGUCAAAAACAUGAGGUGAACUCUCGAUGGAAAGUAGAAGUGGACAUGUCAGUUUGUUCUCUUCCUUAUGACUCUUACGUUACUUCUAUUCCAUCUUCGGAAUCACAUAGUAGUUGAAACGUAAGGCAUUGUUAGGUAAUUUAUCUAAUAAUUAAUAGUACGUGUUAUGAUGAAGUUUUUGUUGGGGAACGUAGCAGAAAUUCAAAAUUUUCUACGCAUCACCAAGAUCAAUCCAUGGAGUAAUCUAGUUACGAGGGGAAGGGGAGUGCAUCUACAUACCCUUGUAGAUCGCGAUGCGGAAGCGUUGCAAGAACGCGGAUGAAGGAGUCGUACUCGAAGCGAUUCAGAUCGCGGUUGAUUCCGAUCUAAGCACCGAAGAACGGUGCCUCCGUGUUCAACACACGUGCAGCCCGGUGACGUCUCCCACGCCUUGAUCCAGCAAGGAGAGAGGGAGAGGUUGGGGAAGACUCCAUCCAGCAGCAGCACGACGGUGUGGUGGUGAUGGAGGAGCGUGGCAAUCCCGCAGGGCUUCGCCAAGCACCGCGAGAGAGGAGGAGGAGGGAGAGGGGUAGGGCUGCGCCGAAAAAGAGACGUUCUCAUGUGUCUUGGGCAGCCCAAACCUCAACUAUAUAUAGGGGGGAGGGGGCUGCGCCCCCCUCUAGGGUUCCCACCCCAAGAGGAGGCGGCCAGCCCUAGAUCCCAUCAAGGGGGGCGGCCAAGGGGAGGAGAGGGGGGGGCGCCCCACUAGAUGGGCCUAGGUUUGCCCCCUCCCACUCUCCCAUGCGCCUAGGGCCUUGGUGGGGGGGCGCACCAGCCCACUUGGGGCUGGUCCCCUCCCACACUUGGCCCACGCAGCCUUUUGGGGCUGGUGGACCCCCGGGACCCUCCCGGUGGUCCCGGUACAUUACCGAUAUCACCCGAAACUUUUCCGGUGACCAAAACAGGACUUCCCAUAUAUAAAUCUUUACCUCCGGACCAUUCCGGAACUCCUCGUGACGUCCGGGAUCUCAUCCGGGACUCCGAACAACAUUCGGUAACCACGUACAAACUUUCCCUAUAACCCUAGCGUCAUCGAACCUUAAGUGUGUAGACCCUACGGGUUCGGGAACCAUGCAGACAUGACCGAGACGUUCUCCGGUCAAUAACCAACAGCGGGAUCUGGAUACCCAUGUUGGCUCCCACAUGUUCCAAGAUGAUCUCAUCGGAUGAACCACGAUGUCGGGGAUUCAAUCAAUCCCGUAUACAAUUCCCUUUGUCUAUCGGUAUGUUACUUGCCCGAGAUUCGAUCGUCGGUAUCCCUAUACCUUGUUCAAUCUCGUUACCGGCAAGUCUCUUUACUCGUUUCGUAACUCACAUCAUCCCGUGAUCAACUCCUUGGUCACAUUGUGCACAUCAUGAUGAUGUCCUACCGAGUGGGCCCAGAGAUACCUCUCCGUUUACACGGAGUGACAAAUCCCAGUCUCGAUUCGUGCCAACCUAACAAACACUUUCGGAGAUACCUGUAGUGCACCUUUAUAGCCACCCAGUUACGUUGUGACGUUUGGUACACCCAAAGCAUUCCUACGGUAUCCGGGAGUUGCACAAUCUCAUGGUCUAAGGAACUGAUACUUGACAUUAGAAAAGCUCUGAGCAUACGAACUACACGAUCUUGUGCUAGGCUUAGGAUUGGGUCUUGUCCAUCACAUCAUUCUCCUAAUGAUGUGAUCCCGUUAUCAACGACAUCCAAUGUCCAUGGUCAGGAAACCGUAACCAUCUAUUGAUCAAUGAGCUAGUCAACUAGAGGCUUACUAGGGACAUGAUGUUGUCUAUGUAUCCACACAUGUAUCUGAGUUUCCUAUCAAUACAAUUCUAGCAUGGAUAAUAAACGAUUAUCAUGAACAAGGAAAUAUAAUAAUAACCUAUUUAUUAUUGCCUCUAGGGCAUAUUUCCAACAGUCUCCCACUUGCACUAGAGUCAAUAAUCUAGUCCACAUCACCAUGUGAUUAACACUCAUAGGUUCUGGUUUGAUCAUGUUAUGCUUGUGAGAGAGGUUAUUAGUCAACGGGUCUGGACCUUUCAGAUCCGUGUGUGCUUUACGAAUAUCUAUGUUAUCUUGUGGAUGCUACCACGCGCUAUUUGGAGCCAUUUCAAAUAAUUGCUCUACUAUACGAAUCCGGUUUACUACUCAGAGUCAUCCGGAUUAGUGUCAAAGUUCGCAUCGACGUAACCCUUUACGACGAACUCCCUUUCACCUCCAUAAUCGAUAAAAUCCUUAGUCCACUAGAUACUAAGGAUAAGUUCGACCGCUGUCAUGUGAUCCAUUCCCGGAUCACUAUUGUACCCCUUGACCAACUCAUGGCAAGGCACACUUCAUGUGCGGUACACAGCAUAGCAUACUGUAGAGCCUACGUCUGAAGCAUAGGGGACGACCUUCGUCCUUUCUCUCUCUUCUGCUGUGGUCAGGUCUUGAGUCUUACUCAAUACUCACACCUUGUAACACAGCCUGAACUCCUUCUUUGCUGAUCUAUUUUGAACUCUUUCAAAAUCAUGUCAAGGUGUCCGUUCUUUGAAAGUAUCAUCGGGCGUCUUGAUCUAUCUCUAUAGAUCUUGAUGCCCAAUAUGUAAGCAGCUUUAUCCUGGUCUUCCUUUGAAAAACUCCUUUCAAACAACCCUUUAUGCUUUCCAGAAAUUUUACAUCAUUUCGGAUCAACAAUAUGUCAUUCACAUAUACUUAUCAGAAAUGUUGUAGCGCUCCCACUCACUUUAUUGUAAAUACAAGUUUCUAACAAACUUUGUAUAAACCCAAAAACUUUGAUCACUCCAUCAAAGUGUAUAUUCUGACUCCGAGAUGCUUGCUCUAAUCCAUGGAAGGAUCGCUGAAGCUAGCAUACCUUUUAGCAUCCUUAGGAUCGACAAAACCUUUCUGAUUGUAUCGCAUACAACCUUUCCUUACGAAAACUGGUAAGGAAACUUGUUUUGACAUCCAUCUGCCAGAUUUCAUAAAUGCAGCUAAUGCUAACAUGAUUCCGACGGACUUAAGCAUCGCUACGGAUGAGAAAAUCUCAUCGUAGUCAACUCCUUGAACUUGUGAAAAUACUCUUUUCCACAAGUCGAGCUUCAUAGACGGUAACAUUACCGUCCAUGUCCGUCUUCUUCUUAAAGAUCCAUUUAUCUCGGAUUUCAUGGCUUCUAACCAUUUGUCGGAAUAUGGGCCCACCAUCGCUUCUCCAUAGCUCAUAGGUUCAUCGUUGUCCAACAACAUGACUUCCAAGACAGGAUCACGCACUACUCUGAAGUAUUACGCAUCCUCGUCGUCCUACAAGGUUUGGUAAUGACUUGAUCCGAAGUUUCAUGAUCACUAUCAUAAGCUUCCACUUCAAGUGGUGUAGGUGCCACAGGAACAACUUCCUGUGCCCUGCUACACACUAGUUGAAGUGACGGUUCAAUAACCUUAUCAAGUCUCCACCAUCCUCCCACUCAAUUCUUUCGAGAGAAACUUUUCCUCGAGAAAGGACCUGUUUCUAGAAGCAAUUACUUUUGCUUCCAGAUCUGAAAUAGGAGGUAUACCCAACACUUCUGGGUAUUCUAUGAAGAUGCAUUUAUCCGCUUUGGGUUCGAGCUUAUCAGCCUGAAACUUUUUCACAUAAGCAUUGCAGCCCCAAACUUUUAAGAAACGACAACUUAGGUUUCUCUAAACGGUGUCUCAACGGAAUUGCGUGGUGCCCCCUUUUAAAGUGAAUGCGGUUAUCUCUAAUGCCUAACCCAUAAACGAUAGUGGUAAUUCGAUAAGAGACAUCAUGGUAUGCACCAUAUCCAAUAGGGUGCAGUUAUGAUGUUCGGACACACCAUCACACUAUGGUGUUCCAGGCGGUAUUAAUUGUGAAACACUUUCCACAAUGUCUUAAUUGUGUGCCAAACUCGUAACUCAGAUACUCAUCUCUAUGAUCAUAUCACAGACAUUUUAUCCUCUUGUCACGACGAUCUUCAACUUCACUCUGAAAUUACUUGAACCUUUCAAUAAUUCAGACUUGUGUUUCAUCAAGUAAAUACACUCAGCAUCUACUCAAAUCAUCUGUGAAGUAAGAACAUAACGAUAUCCACUGCAUGCCUCAGCACUCAUUGGACUGCACACAUCAAAAUGUAUUACAUCCAACAAGUUGCUCUCUUGUUCCAUCUUACUGAAAACGAGGCUUUUCAGUCAUCUUGCCCAUGUGGUAUGAUUUGCAUGUCUCAAGUGAUUCAAAAUCAAGUGAGUCCAAAUGAUCCAUCUGCAUGGAGUUUCUUCAUGCAUAUAUACCAAUAGACAUGGUUCGCAUGUCUCAAUCGUUUCAAAAACGAGUGAGUCCAAAGAUCCAUCUACAUGGAGCUUCUUCAUGCGUUUUAUCCCAAUAUGACUCAAAUAGCAGUGCCACAAGUAUGUGGUACUAUCAUUACUUUUGGCAUGAACAUGUGUAUCACUACGAUCGAGAUUCAUUUUAGGUGUAAGACCAUUGAAGGUAUUAUUCAAAUAAACAGAGUAACCAUUAUUCUCCUUAAAUGAAUAACCGUAUUGCGAUAAACAUAAUCCAAUCAUGUUUAUGCUCAACGCAAACACCAAUCUCGAUGGUAGAGGGAGCAUGCGAUGCUUGAUCACAUCAACCUUGGAAACACUUCCAACACACAUCGUCAUCUCACCUUUAGCUAGUCUCCAUUUAUUCCGCAGAUUUUAUUUCGAGUUACUGAAACUUAGCAACCGAACCAGUAUCUAAUACCCUGGUGCUGCUAGGAGUACUACUAAAGUACACAUUCAUAUAAUGUAUAUCUAAUAUACUUCUGUCGACCUUCCUUCUCAUCUACCAAAUAUCUAGGGUAGUACUGCUUCAGUGACCGUUCCUCUCAUUACAGAAGCACUUAGUCUCGGGUUUGGGUUCAACCUUGGGAUUCUUCACUAGAGCAGCAAACGACUUGCUGUUUCAUGAAGUAUCCCUUUUGCCCUUGCCCUUCUUAAACUAGUGGUUUUACUAACCAUCAACAAUUGAUGCUCCUUCUUGAUUUCUACUUUCGCGGUGUCAAACAUCGCGAGUUGCUCAAGGAUCAUCAUCUAUCCUUGAUAUUUAUAGUUCAUCACGAAGCUCUAAUAGCUUGGUGGCAGUGACUAUGGAGAACCAUCACUAUCUCAUCUGGGAGAUUAACUCCCACUCAAUUCAAGUGAUUGUGGUACUCAGACAAUCUGAGCACAUGCUCAACGAUUGAACUUUUCUCCCUUAGUUUGCAGGCUUAAGAAACUUGUCAGAGGUCUCAUACCUCUUGACGUGGGCACUAGUCCGAAAUCCCAAUUUCAGUCUUUGGAACAUCUCAUAUGUUCUGCGACGUUUCAAAACCGUCUUUGGUGCCACAAUUCUAAACUGUUAGCAUUACGCACUGAACUAUCACGUAGUCAUCAAAACGUGUAUGUUAGAUGUUUCGCAACAUCUACAAACGACGCUGAGGUUCAGCACACCGAGCGGUGCAUUAAGGACAUAAGCCUUCUGUGCAACAAUGAGGACAAUCCUCAGUUUACGGACCCAGUCCGCAUAAUUGCUACUACCAACUUUCAACUAAAUUUUCUCUAGGAACAUAUCUUAAACAGUAGAACUAAAGCGUAUGACAUAUUUGCAAAGACCUUUUGACUAUGUUCAUGAUAAUGAAGUUCAUCUGAUUAUUGAACUCCCACUCAGAUAAACAUCCCUCUAGUCAUCUAAGUGAUACAUGAUCCGAGUCAAACUAGGCCGUGUCCGAUCAUCACGUGAGACGGACUAGUCAUCAUCGGUGAACAUCUCCAUGUUGAUCGUAUCUACCAUACAACUCAUGUUCGACCUUUCGAUCUCUUGUGUUCCGAGGCCAUGUCUGUACAUGCUAGGCUCGUCAAGUCAACCUAAGUGUUUCGCAUGUGUUCCGAGGCCAUGUCUGUACAUGCUAGGCUCGUCAACACCCGUUGUAUUCGAACGUUAGAAUCUAUCACACCCGAUCAUCACGUGGUGCUUCGAAAUAACGAACCUUCGCAACGGUGCACAGUUAGGGGGAACACGUCUCUUGAAAUUUUUAGUGAGGGAUCAUCUUACUUACUACCGUCGUUCUAAGCAAAUAAGAUGCAAGACAUGAUAAACAUCACAUGCAAUCAAAUAGUGACAUGAUAUGGCCAAUAUCAUUUUUUCUCCUUUGAUCUCCAUCUUCGGGGCACCAUGAUCAUCUUUGUCACCGGCAUGACACCAUGAUCUCCAUCAUUGUGUCUUCAUGAAGUUGUCACGCCAACGAUUACUUCUACUUCUAUGGCUAACGCGCUUAGCAAUAAAGUAAAGUAAUUUACAUGGCGUUUUUCAAUGACACGCAGGUCAUACAAAAAAAAUAAAGACAACUCCUAUGGCUCCUGCCGGUUGUCAUACUCAUCGACAUGCAAGUCAUGAUUCCUAUUACAAGAAUAUGAUCAAUCUCAUACAUCACAUAUAUCAUUCAUCACAUCUUCUGGCCAUAUCACAUCACAUAGCACAUGCUGCAAAAACAAGUUAGACGUCCUCUAAUUGUUGUUGCAAGUUUUUACGUGGCUUGUAUAGGUUUCUAGCAAGAACGUUUCUUACCUACGUAAAACCACAACGUGAUAUGCCAAUUUCUAUUUACCCUUCAUAAGGACCCUUUUCAUCGAAUCCGUUCCGACUAAAGUGGGAGAGACAGACACCCGCUAGCCACCUUAUGCAACUAGUGCAUGUCAGUCGGUAGAACCUGUCUCACGUAAGCGUACGUGUAAGGUCGGUCCGGGCCGCUUCAUCCCACAAUGCCGCCGAAACAAGAUAAGACUAGUAGCGGCAAGAAGAAAUGGCAACAUGGACGCCCACAACUACUUUGUGUUCUACUCGUGCAUAGAAACUACGCAUAGACCUAGCUCAUGAUGCCACUGUUGGAGAACGUAGCAGAAAUUCAAAAUUUUCUACGCAUCACCAAGAUCAAUCUAUGGAGUUUACUAGCAACGAGAGGGAAGAAGAGUGCAUCUACAUACCCUUGUAGAUCGCGAUGCGGAAGCGUUGCAAGAACACGGAUGAAGGAGUCGUACUCGAAGCGAUUCAGAUCGCGGUUGAUUCCGAUCUAAGCACCGAAGAACGGUGCCUCCGCGUUCAACGCACGUGCAGCCCGGUGACGUCUCCCACACCUUGAUCCAGCAAGGAGAGAGGGAGAGGUUGGGGAAGACUCCAUCCAGCAGCAGCACGACGGUGUGGUGGUGAUGGAGGAGCGUGGCAAUCCCGCAGGGCUUCGCCAAGCACCGCGGGAGAGGAGGAGGAGGGAGAGGGGUAGGGCUGCACCGAAAGAGAGACGUUCUCAUGUGUCUUGGGCAGCCCAAACCUCAACUAUAUAUAGGGGGGAGGGGGCUGCGCCCCCCUCUAGGGUUCCCACCCCAAGAGGAGGCGGCCAGCCCUAGAUCCCAUCAAGGGGGCGGCCAAGGGGAGGAGGGGGGGCGCCCCACUAGAUGGGCCUUAGGGCCCAUCUGGACCUAGGGUUUGCCCCCUCCCACUCUCCCAUGCGCCUAGGGCCUUGGUGGGGGGGGGGCGCACCAGCCCACUUGGGGCUGGUCCCCUCCCACACUUGGCCCACGCAGCCUUUUGGGGCUGGUGGCCCCACUUGGUGGACCCCCGGGACCCUCCCGGUGGUCCCGGUACAUUACCGAUAUCACCCGAAACUUUUCCGGUGACCAAAACAGGACUUCCCAUAUAUAAAUCUUUACCUCCGGACCAUUCCGGAACUCCUCGUGACGUCCGGGAUCUCAUCCGGGACUCCGAACAACAUUCGGUAACCACGUACAAACUUUCCCUAUAACCCUAGCGUCAUCGAACCUUAAGUGUGUAGACCCUACGGGUUCGGGAACCAUGCAGACAUGACCGAGACGUUCUCCGGUCAAUAACCAACAGCGGGAUCUGGAUACCCAUGUUGGCUCCCACAUGUUCCAAGAUGAUCUCAUCGGAUGAACCACGAUGUCGGGGAUUCAAUCAAUCCCGUAUACAAUUCCCUUUGUCUAUCGGUAUGUUACUUGCCCGAGAUUCGAUCGUCGGUAUCCCUAUACCUUGUUCAAUCUCGUUACCGGCAAGUCUCUUUACUCGUUUCGUAACUCACAUCAUCCCGUGAUCAACUCCUUGGUCACAUUGUGCACAUCAUGAUGAUGUCCUACCGAGUGGGCCCAGAGAUACCUCUCCGUUUACACGGAGUGACAAAUCUCAGUCUCGAUUCGUGCCAACCCAACAAACACUUUCGGAGAUACCUGUAGUGCACCUUUAUAGCCACCCAGUUACGUUGUGACGUUUGGUACACCCAAAGCAUUCCUACGGUAUCCGGGAGUUGCACAAUCUCAUGGUCUAAGGAACUAAUACUUGACAUUAGAAAAGCUCUGAGCAUACGAACUACACGAUCUUGUGCUAGGCUUAGGAUUGGGUCUUGUCCAUCACAUCAUUCUCCUAAUGAUGUGAUCCCGUUAUCAACGACAUCCAAUGUCCAUGGUCAGGAAACCGUAACCAUCUAUUGAUCAACGAGCUAGUCAACUAGAGGCUUACUAGGGACAUGGUGUUGUCUAUGUAUCCACACAUGUAUCUGAGUUUCCUAUCAAUACAAUUCUAGCAUGGAUAAUAAACGAUUAUCAUGAAUAACGAAAUAUAAUAAUAACCUAUUUAUUAUUGCCUUUAUGGCAUAUUUCCAACAGUUUUCGGCUUCGUCUCUGGGUCGAGCCUCUUACAUUUAGCUUUCUCUUAACACCUAGCGACGGGGACGCUCUUAUCACCCACACUAAUGGCUUCUCGAAGGCGGGAAGUUUUUCUCCUCCACGAAUACUUGCUUGUGGCACAUCACCAUCUCCCUCAGUUAUUUAUUAUACUUCUUCUUCUGUUCGUCAUUUUCUCAUAUCUUUUUUUAAGGAGCCAGAGUGUGGCCAACACCAUAAUAAACACACAAGGCAAUGGAUGGAUUACUAGUUAAAUUCUUUGGCUUUUCGCUCUUGAAAAAUAUUAGCUUUGUUAUGGGUGGACGGAGGGGUCGCACUUAUAGCUUCGGUGCGUGUCGCUGCAUCUAAGAGCAUCCGUAUGUCAAGGUGCUGAACAAUGUGUAAAAGCGGUGAGAAAAAGUCGGUAUCCAUGUUACGGGAUGUAAGGCUUGUGGCAAAAAAACUUAACACCAGCAGUUUGACCAUAGAACAUCUAUAACCCGUAUUCCCAUAAACGGGUGGUAAACUCCUGAAAAAGAAGUGGACUCAUCAAUCUGGCCUCUUCCGUAUGACUCUUCUUUUAGUUCUAUUAUUAUUACAUCCACAUAAACACAUGGAACUUGAGACGUAAGACAUUGUUGGGUAAUUUAUCUGAAAAUAACUCGUACUACAAGUUAGGACGAAGUGAGAAUUGUAAAAUAUAAGCUUUUGCCUUCUUUCGUAUACCCCAUGCACCUUAUGCUAGAUGGCUUUUCGAGGGAAUUUUUUUUAUUUCUUCUCUACGAAUGCUUGUGGCACACCGCCGUUUUUCUUAUUUUAUUUUGGAGCCGUCUUUUUUGGUUAUUUAUAUACUUUGUUUUCCGUUCAUCAUUUAGGCAUCCCUUUCCACCUUUCGUCACCAGUCAUGGAGGACGGAUACCUAAGCAACCUUUAAUAAUUUUUGCGUGUGCCGCUCUGGUUGUAAGACCGGAAAGCGAAACCUCCAUGAUCAUUUCAUAAAUGAACAAAGCAGUGCCGCUGCUCUUUCAAAAAUAAGUAUAUCAAAUUCAGUUGAAGCCGCAUCUGUACUGUUCAGCGAUGGAGACUGAGGUUGGGCCAUGAAAAGAAAACAGAUAAUUUUGUUUCAUAAUGAUACGAAUUAAUUAUUGAAGGUAGGGUCAUAGAGACCGAUUACAUUACAUUCAUAGAAGCGCAUGGAAGUUGAGACGCAAGACAUUGUUUGGUAAUCUCUAUCUCUAUCUCUAUCUCUACUACUUAAAAAGAACGUAAGGUUUCCAUUAUUUCACCUUUCUUCCCACCAUCCCUUCGUCCAACCUUCCAUGUAUAUGAUAAUCAACCACCUUAAUUUACUUACCUUCCGAACCAAUUUCACUUUAAUUUACUUACCAAACUUCUAAUCAAAAUAAGGUAAUUCAUGACCAGAAUUUGAUGAAUAUUUAUUUACACAAUCGUAUUAUUAUUGACAGGUAAAUCACAAGCUAACGUAUUACAAUAUUUAUAUCUCGUUGCAACGCACGGACAUUGUUCUAGUUUAUCUAAAAACAGUAUGUAGAAGUUAGGACGAAGCGAGAAUUGUAACACAUAAGCUUCCCCCCUCUUUCGUAUACCCCAUAGGCCUUUCGGCUUCGGUUUCGAAUACACCAUCACACAUAUAGCUUCUGCUUAACACCUAGCGAUGCGGAUGCUCCUAUCGCCUAUACAUACUAGUAAACGGCUUCUCGAGGACGGGAAGGUUUUUUGUUUGUUUCUUCUCUACGAAUGCUUGUGGCACACUACCACCGUCAUCCUUAGCUAUUCAUAUACUUCCUUCCCCGUUCAUCAUUUAUGCAUCUCUUUCCAUCGUUCGUCACCGGUCACGGGAGACGAAUACCGAAGCAACAUUCAAUAAUUUUUGGUCAUGGGAGACGGAUACCGAAGCAACAUUCAAUAAUUUUUGCGUGCGCCGCUCUGGUUGUAAGAUCUGAAAGCGAGACCGCAUGAUCAUUUCAUACGUGGCACAAGACUCACAUGGUUCUUAUUUUCUUAUUAUUGCUGGCCAACACACAUGCACGAGCAAGCAAGUGUUUCUGCUCUUUCAAAAAAUAACAAAUUCAGUUCGAACCGCAUAACCGAAUCUUGUACUGUCCCACGAUGGAGACCGAUUGUUAGGCCACGAAAAGAAAGCAGAUGGAAAAGAAAAACUCAUAAUGAAGCUAAUUGAUUAAUGAACGUAGGGUCACACAGCGACCGAUCUUAGUCAGGGUGACUUGGAUCCGACACGGCCGGCAUCAGUCAUCGCCCGUCCCGUUCCUAAAUGCUCGGUGAGAGGGGCCUCAUUGUUCAUGUCAAUGUGACAGGUUUUCGGUUCAGAAUGAAAAAAUGAGGAAAAGGAAAA